AAUAUUGCACAAUGGGCGCAAGCCUGAUGCAGCCAUGCCGCGUGUGUGAAGAAGGCCUUCGGGUUGUAAAGCACUUUCAGUCGUGAGGAAGGUAGUGUAGUUAAUAGCUGCAUUAUUUGACGUUUAGCGACAGAAGAAGCACCGGCUAACUCCGUGCCAGCAGCCGCGGUAAUACGGAGGGUGCGAGCGUUAAUCGGAAUUACUGGGCGUAAAGCGCAUGCAGGUGGUUUGUUAAGUCAGAUGUGAAAGCCCGGGGCUCAACCUCGGAAUAGCAUUUGAAACUGGCAGACUAGAGUACUGUAGAGGGGGUAGAAUUUCAGGUGUAGCGGUGAAAUGCGUAGAGAUCUGAAGGAAUACCGGUGGCGAAGGCGGCCCCCCUGGACAGAUACUGACACUCAGAUGCGAAAGCGUGGGGAGCAAACAGGAUUAGAUACCCUGGUAG
This 442-nucleotide ribosomal RNA is filed under the name uncultured bacterium. RNAcentral's name for it is "bacterial SSU rRNA". It matches the Rfam family "Bacterial small subunit ribosomal RNA", at positions 360 to 793 of the family's 1533-position model. The record is from RNAcentral.